GUCUCCAUCGUCUAGAGGCCUAGGACGUCGCCUUCUCACGGCGGUAGCGCGAGUUCGAAUCUCGCUGGGGACGCCA
This 76-nucleotide transfer RNA is filed under the name Holosporaceae bacterium. RNAcentral's name for it is "tRNA-Glu". It matches the Rfam family "tRNA". From Rfam's summary of the family: Transfer RNA (tRNA) molecules are approximately 80 nucleotides in length. Their secondary structure includes four short double-helical elements and three loops (D, anti-codon, and T loops). Further hydrogen bonds mediate the characteristic L-shaped molecular structure. tRNAs have two regions of fundamental functional importance: the anti-codon, which is responsible for specific mRNA codon recognition, and the 3' end, to which the tRNAs corresponding amino acid is attached (by aminoacyl-tRNA synthetases). tRNAs cope with the degeneracy of the genetic code in two manners: having more than one tRNA (with a specific anti-codon) for a particular amino acid; and 'wobble' base-pairing, i.e. permitting non-standard base-pairing at the 3rd anti-codon position. Lineage: Bacteria; Pseudomonadati; Pseudomonadota; Alphaproteobacteria; Holosporales; Holosporaceae. The record is from RNAcentral.